This 233-nucleotide ribosomal RNA is filed under the name Acinetobacter baumannii. Its description in RNAcentral is "partial 16S ribosomal RNA". It matches the Rfam family "Bacterial small subunit ribosomal RNA", at positions 1 to 237 of the family's 1533-position model. The record is from RNAcentral. Lineage: Bacteria; Pseudomonadati; Pseudomonadota; Gammaproteobacteria; Moraxellales; Moraxellaceae.
AACUGAAGAGUUUGAUCAUGGCUCAGAUUGAACGCUGGCGGCAGGCUUAACACAUGCAAGUCGAGCGGGGGAAGGUAGCUUGCUACCGGACCUAGCGGCGGACGGGUGAGUAAUGCUUAGGAAUCUGCCUAUUAGUGGGGGACAACAUCUCGAAAGGGAUGCUAAUACCGCAUACGUCCUACGGGAGAAAGCAGGGGAUCUUCGGACCUUGCGCUAAUAGAUGAGCCUAAGUC